RNAcentral lists this ribosomal RNA (924 nucleotides) under Triticum aestivum (bread wheat). Its description in RNAcentral is "partial small subunit ribosomal RNA". The record is from RNAcentral. Lineage: Eukaryota; Viridiplantae; Streptophyta; Magnoliopsida; Poales; Poaceae.
AUGGCGGCUGCGCCGCGAGACCGGCGGCGAAGGGGCCGCGCUCCCGGGGCUGCCUCUGCCGCCGCUGCCGCGGAGGACGACGGGGAGGAGCACCACCUCAACCCCUUCCUCUCGGACGCGGCGCCGACGUCCUCGAGAGUCCAGUUCAGGUGCGUGCUCUCGGCUCCCCUCUUGCGGUUGAUCUGUUUGUUGCUUCUGCCGGUGCGCUUGUGGAUAGUUCAGCGGGUUGCAUUGCAUAUGUUGUGGAGCAGGAACGUGGCGUCGCGGGCGCGGUGGGUGGAGGAGGCCGGCGCGGCGGAGGUGUUGGACAGCAAGGGGAAGCUCUGGCUGACCACCGGCGUCACACGAGGCGGCAAGCUGUACUACAAUGUCGAGGAGAUCGGGUUUUUGGCAGAAAGAGGGGCAUUGAUUUUUCUCGAUGAUGAGGGUGGGACAAUAGGAAUGGAAGAAAUCUAUGGAAAGAUUGCAGGAGGAAAAUACGGGUGCUCCUGGGAUGCCUUCCAGGCUUACAAACACUUGAAGUUGCUUGGCUACAUUAUUGGACGCUAUGCUGUCCCCUGGACAAUGAAGAAUAACCCUACUUGUGAAACCACUGAUUCCCUGGAGCGUAUGCCUGACACUGACCAGAGCUUCAAUAGAGCCGACGGUGUCCACAACGGCAUCACGAAAUUACUCAAAGAAAUGCACAUAGAUGGGUUACAUCCAUCCUUCGAAGUGUAUCUACCAAAUAGCAAAUUCAGAAAGUCAUCCCCUGGAGCCCCUUGUUUCCUCCUAUCUAUGCUAAGAGACAAACCACCAUCAAGGGAUGAACUGGAAACUAUCGAAAGCAAGUGUGACGGCAUUCCUCUUAAAUUUUGUCAAGUUGAUAAUGGACGCGUCAGCUUUCUCUCCUUCGACAAAGUUCGACUUCCUAGUUUGCCCUGA